UUCCGUAGGUGAACCUGCGGAAGGAUCAUUACCGUUACAACCGAUCGCCUUCGGGCGUGAGGAAAACCCUUUGUCUACAUGUACCUCCUGUUGUUUCCUCGGUAGGCUUGCCUGCCGCUAGGAACCCAUCCAACCCUUGUAUCUAAAGUAUCACAAAACUCUGAUAACUACCUAAUCUUAUCACAACUUUCAACAAUGGAUCUCUUGGUUCUGGCAUCGAUGAAGAACGCAGCGAAAUGCGAAAAGUAGUGUGAAUUGCAGAAUUCCGUGAAUCAUCGAAUCUUUGAACGCACAUUGCGCCCCUUGGUAUUCCGGGGGGCAUGCCUGUUCGAGCGUCAUUUUCACCCUCAAGCUCUGCUUGGUGUUGGGCGUCUGUCCCGUCUCUGUGCGUGGACUCGUCCCAAAGUCAUUGGCAGCGGUCGUGCCGGCUUCUCGUGCAGCACAUUGCGCUUCUUGAAGCUCCGGUGGACCAGCGUCCAGCAAGCCUUUUUUUAUAACUUGACCU
This 505-nucleotide ribosomal RNA is filed under the name Helminthosporium leucadendri. Its description in RNAcentral is "eukaryotic LSU rRNA". The stretch from base 185 to 338 matches the Rfam family "5.8S ribosomal RNA". Lineage: Eukaryota; Fungi; Ascomycota; Dothideomycetes; Pleosporales; Massarinaceae. The record is from RNAcentral.